RNAcentral lists this ribosomal RNA (213 nucleotides) under uncultured fungus. RNAcentral describes it as "partial small subunit ribosomal RNA". The stretch from base 38 to 213 matches the Rfam family "Eukaryotic small subunit ribosomal RNA", at positions 686 to 864 of the family's 1831-position model. The record is from RNAcentral. Lineage: Eukaryota; Fungi.
GGACUAAUAUGUUGGUCGUGCCUCGGUACGUACUGGCUUGUUGGUUUCUACCUUCUGACGAACCAUGAUGUCAUUAAUUUGGUGUCUUGGGGAAUCAGGACUGUUACUUUGAAAAAAUUAGAGUGUUUAAAGCAGGCCCACGCUUGAAUACAUUAGCAUGGAAUAAUAGAAUAGGACUUUGGUUCUAUUUUGUUGGUUUCUAGGACUGAAGUA